Molecule: unclassified non-coding RNA, 413 nt
Filed under: soil metagenome
Description: partial contains 5.8S ribosomal RNA, internal transcribed spacer 2, and large subunit ribosomal RNA
Rfam family: 5.8S ribosomal RNA (bases 1-120)
Source: RNAcentral
GAUGAAGAACGCAGCGAAAUGCGAUAAGUAAUGUGAAUUGCAGAAUUCAGUGAAUCAUCGAAUCUUUGAACGCACCUUGCGCUCUUUGGUAUUCCGAAGAGCAUGCCUGUUUGAGUGUCAUGAAAAUAUCAACCUUGACUUGGGUUUUGUGCUCUAGUCUCGACUUGGAAUUGGGUGCUUGCCGCUUUUACGAGCGGCUCACCUUAAAUGUAUUAGCUGGAUCUGUCUUUGAGACUUGGUUUGACUUGGCGUAAUAAGUAUUUCGCUAAGGACAUUCUUCGGAGUGGCCUCGUUUCUAGGACGCUUGUCCGCUUUCCAAUACAAGUUCCACCUCGUGGACAUGACUUUUUAUUAUCUGGCCUCAAAUCAGGUAGGACUACCCGCUGAACUUAAGCAUAUCAAUAAGCGGAGGA